This 492-nucleotide ribosomal RNA is filed under the name uncultured bacterium. RNAcentral's name for it is "partial 16S ribosomal RNA". It matches the Rfam family "Bacterial small subunit ribosomal RNA", at positions 29 to 507 of the family's 1533-position model. The record is from RNAcentral.
AUUGAACGCUGGCGGCAUGCUUUACACAUGCAAGUCGAACGGUAACAGGCCUUCGGGUGCUGACGAGUGGCGGACGGGUGCGUAAUGCAUCGGAACGUACCCAGAGGUGGGGGAUAACGCAGCGAAAGCUGUGCUAAUACCGCAUGUGAUCUGAGGAUGAAAGCGGGGGACCGAGCAGCAAUGUUUGGCCUCGCGCCUUUGGAGCGGCCGAUGUCGGAUUAGCUAGUUGGUGGGGUAAAGGCCUACCAAGGCGACGAUCCGUAGCUGGUCUGAGAGGACGACCAGCAACACUGGGACUGAGACACGGCCCAGACUCCUACGGGAGGCAGCAGUGGGGAAUGUUGGACAAUGGGCGCAAGCCUGAUCCAGCAAUGCCGCGUGCGGGAAGAAGGCCUUCGGGUUGUAAACCGCUUUUGGCAGGAACGAAACGGUGUCCGCUAAUACCGGGCGCUAAUGACGGUACCUGCAGAAUAAGCACCGGCUAACUACGUG